UUGAACGAAGUACAAUGAGGUUUGAUUAUGGCUCAGAUUGAACGCUGGCGGGAUGCUUUACACAUGCAAGUCGAACGGCAGCACGGACUUCGGUCUGGUGGCGAGUGGCGAACGGGUGAGUAAUGUAUCGGAACGUGCCUAGUAGCGGGGGAUAACUACGCGAAAGCGUAGCUAAUACCGCAUACGCCCUUCGGGGGAAAGCGGGGACCCUGGCCUCGCACCAUAGAGCGGCCGAUAUCGGAUUAGCUAGUUGCGGGGUAACGGCUCACCAAGGCGACGAUCCGUAGCUGGUUUGAGAGGACGACCAGCCACACUGGGACUGAGACACGGCCCAGACUCCUACGGGAGGCAGCAGUGGGGGAAUUUUUGGACAAUGGGGGAAACCCCGAUCCAUAUCCCGCGUGUGCGAUGAAGGCCUUCGGGUUGUAAAGCACUUUGGCAGGAAAGAAACGGCACGGGAUAAUACCCGUGCAACUGACGGUACCAGCAGAAUAAGCACCGGCUAACUACGUGCCAGCAGCCGCGGUAAUACGUAGGGUGCAAGCGUUAAUCGGAAUUACUGGGCGAAAGCGUGCGCAGGCGUUCUGGAAAGAAAGAUGAAACUUCAGAGCUAACUUUGAACUGCAUUUUAACUACCGAGCUAGAGUGUGUCAGAGGGAGGUGGGACCCGCGUGUAGCAGUGAAAUGCGUAGAUAUGCGGAGGAACACCGAUGGCGAAGGCAGCCUCCUGGGAUAACACUGACGCUCAUGCACGAAAGCGUGGGGAGCAAACAGGAUUAGAUACCCUGGUAGUCCACGCCCUAAACGAUGUCAACUAGCUGUUGUGGGGCCUUUCGGGCCUUGGUAGCGCAGCUAACGCGUGAAGUUGACCGCCUGGGGAGUACGGUCGCAAGAUUAAAACUCAAAGGAAUUGACGGGGACCCGCACAAGCGGUGGAUGAUGUGGAUUAAUUCGAUGCAACGCGAAAAACCUUACCUACCCUUGACAUGUUCGAAUCCCGAAGAGAUUUGGGAGUGCUCGCAAGAGAAAUCCGGGAACACAGGUGCUGGGCAUGUAUUGCCGCUAGCUCGUGUCGUGAGAUGUUGGGUUAAGUCCCGCAAACGAGCGCAACCUCUUUGCUGGCGAAGUGGUUACAAAGGGCACUGCAUCGAGACUGCCGGUGACAAACCGGAGGAAGGUGGGGAUGACGUCAAGUCCUCAUGGCCCUUAUGGGUAGGGCUUCACACGUCAUACAAUGGUCGGGACAGAGGGUCGCCAACCCGCGAGGGGGAGCCAAUCCAGAAACCCGAUCGUAGUCCGGAUCGCAGUCUGCAACUGACUGCGUGAAGUCGGAAUCGCUAGUAAUCGCGGAUCAGCAUGUCGCGUGAAUACGUUCCCGGGUCUUGUACACACUGCCCGUCACACCAUGGGAGUGGGUUUUACCAGAAGUAGUUAGCCUAACUGCAAGGAGGGCGAUUACCACGGUAGGAUUCAUGACUGGGGGAAGUCGUAACAAGGUAG
RNAcentral lists this ribosomal RNA (1500 nucleotides) under uncultured Bordetella sp. RNAcentral describes it as "partial 16S-23S ribosomal RNA intergenic spacer". It matches the Rfam family "Bacterial small subunit ribosomal RNA". Lineage: Bacteria; Pseudomonadati; Pseudomonadota; Betaproteobacteria; Burkholderiales; Alcaligenaceae. The record is from RNAcentral.